AACGUCCUACGGGAGGCAGCAGUGGGGAAUAUUGGACAAUGGGGGAAACCCUGAUCCAGCGACGCCGCGUGGGUGAAGAAGUAUUUCGGUACGUAAAGCUCUAUCAGCAGGAAAGAAAAUGACGGUACCUGACUAAGAAGCCCCGGCUAACUACGUGCCAGCAGCCGCGGUAAUACGUAGGGAGCAAGCGUUGUCCGGAAUUACUGGGCGUAAAGGGCGCGUAGGAGUGUGCUUAAGUCAGGUGUGAAAACUCUGGGCUCAACCUGGAGACUGCACUUGAAACUGGGUAUCUUGAGGGCAGGAGG
This 305-nucleotide ribosomal RNA is filed under the name uncultured bacterium. RNAcentral describes it as "bacterial SSU rRNA". It matches the Rfam family "Bacterial small subunit ribosomal RNA", at positions 334 to 655 of the family's 1533-position model. The record is from RNAcentral.